This 277-nucleotide ribosomal RNA is filed under the name uncultured bacterium. RNAcentral's name for it is "partial 16S ribosomal RNA". It matches the Rfam family "Bacterial small subunit ribosomal RNA", at positions 29 to 333 of the family's 1533-position model. The record is from RNAcentral.
AACGAACGCUGGCGGCAUGCCUAACACAUGCAAGUCGAACGAGACCUUCGGGUCUAGUGGCGCACGGGUGCGUAACGCGUGGGAAUCUGCCCUUUGGUACGGAAUAACUCAGGGAAACUUGAGCUAAUACCGUAUAAUGACUUCGGUCCAAAGAUUUAUCGCCUGAGGAUGAGCCCGCGUAGGAUUAGCUAGUUGGUGAGGUAAAAGCUCACCAAGGCGACGAUCCUUAGCUGGUCUGAGAGGAUGAUCAGCCACACUGGGACUGAGACACGGCCCA